RNAcentral lists this long non-coding RNA (127 nucleotides) under Ictidomys tridecemlineatus (thirteen-lined ground squirrel). RNAcentral describes it as "lncRNA (ENSSTOG00000031414.1)". Lineage: Eukaryota; Metazoa; Chordata; Mammalia; Rodentia; Sciuridae. The record is from RNAcentral.
CUUGCCUGGUGAGGAGAGCAGAAAAGGAGCGUACCCGGAUGGUGCACACGCGAACCCCCAUCCUUCGGAGCCGAGAGGUACUCUGAAGCGCUAAGAGCUUGUCUGUAAAGAGAAGAAAUGAAUCAGA